UCAGGUUGGAGAAUCUCUUCUUCCACUUCUUAGUCCUUAUAACAUCUAAAGACGAUCUGGUUCUCUUACUAGGAGUAUUAGAUCACUCAUCUCGUCCCGGAGAUCUCUUCCAAAAGAAUAUGUCCAAGUCUCCAAAAUGGAUCAAUGUUCUCUCCAAAGCUCCACUGCUAAACAGUACGUCACCUUGGAGAUUCCUCCUCCAUUAAUUCCUAAAUGCAGAUGGGAAGGAUACUCUCACCUACAUUUUAGGGCAGUCAGACUCAUCAUUAGCCUCCACGGCAGAAGAGGAAUACCAGUUACUACUCGAGUCUCAUUAUUAAACACCUGCUUUUUACAGUAUGAACACGCUGUCAUAGGGACGUGUUUGACUAUCCUACAUGCUAGAAG
Molecule: unclassified non-coding RNA, 387 nt
Filed under: Hevea brasiliensis (rubber tree)
Lineage: Eukaryota; Viridiplantae; Streptophyta; Magnoliopsida; Malpighiales; Euphorbiaceae
Source: RNAcentral